GACGAACGCUGGCGGCGUGCUUAACACAUGCAAGUCGAACGGAAAGGCCCUGCUUUUGUGGGGUGCUCGAGUGGCGCACGGGUGUGUAACACGUGAGUAACCUGCCCUUGACUUUGGGAUAACUUCAGGAAACUGGGGCUAAUACCGGAUAGGAGCUCCUGCUGCAUGGUGGUGGUUGGAAAGUUUCGGCGGUUGGGGAUGGACUCGCGGCUUAUCAGCUUGUUGGUGGGGUAGUGGCUUACCAAGGCUUUGACGGGUAGCCGGCCUGAGAGGGCGACCGGCCACAUUGGGACUGAGAUACGGCCCAGACUCCAAGGGGGGGAAGCAGGGGGGAAUAUUGCACAAGGGGCGGAAGCCUGAGGCAGCAACGCCGGGUGCGGAAUAACGGCCUUCGGGUUGUAAACCGUUUUCGCCGGUGACGAGGCGUGAGUGACGGUAAUUGGUAAAGAAGCACCGGCUAACUACGUG
This 468-nucleotide ribosomal RNA is filed under the name uncultured bacterium. RNAcentral's name for it is "partial 16S ribosomal RNA". It matches the Rfam family "Bacterial small subunit ribosomal RNA", at positions 28 to 507 of the family's 1533-position model. The record is from RNAcentral.